GAGCUGUGAGGAUUUAGGCUUCAGCGAUGGUUGGGUCCAUCGAAUUCAUCUGAUAUCGGGAUGCAAUUUAGCCAUACACUGAGCUC
Non-coding RNA from Brassica napus (rape), 86 nucleotides. NCBI's taxonomy places the organism in Eukaryota, Viridiplantae, Streptophyta, Magnoliopsida, Brassicales, Brassicaceae. The record is from Rfam.